GACGAACGCUGGCGGCGUGCUUAACACAUGCAAGUCGAACGGUGAAGCGCCUUCCUUUUUGGUGGGUGUGGAUGAGUGGCGAACGGGUGAGUAACACGUGAGUAACCUGCCCCCUUCUUCUGGAUAACCGCAUGAAAGUGUGGCUAAUACGGGAUAUUCUGGGUCUGUCGCAUGAUGGGUCUGGGAAAGAUAUUGUUUCGGUGGGGGAUGGGCUCGCGGCCUAUCAGCUUGUUGGUGGGGUGAUGGCCUACCAAGGCGGUGACGGGUAGCCGGCCUGAGAGGGUGGACGGUCACACUGGGACUGAGACACGGCCCAGACUCCUACGGGAGGCAGCGGUGGGGAAUAGUGCACAAUGGGCGCAAGCCUGAUGCAGCGACGCCGCGUGAGGGAUGGAGGCCUUCGGGUUGUGAACCUCUUUCGCCAGUGAAGCAGGCCUGCCUCGUUUGUGGGUGGGUUGACGGUAGCUGGAUAAGAAGCGCCGGCUAACUACGUG
Molecule: ribosomal RNA, 494 nt
Filed under: uncultured bacterium
Lineage: Bacteria
Description: partial 16S ribosomal RNA
Rfam family: Bacterial small subunit ribosomal RNA
Source: RNAcentral